AUGAGUCGACCUGAUGGGAUCAACAUCCCCGACAGCAAGUUCUACCUUGGAGAUGCUGGCUAUGCAUGUCGGACGGGUAUUCUUCCACCCUUCAGGAAAACAAGGUACCAUCUCAACGAGUUCUCUGGUAGGAAAUUUCCUAGGACUGCACAGGAGUUGUUUAAUCUCAGACACUCCAGCCUUAGAGUAACUGUUGAGAGGGCAUUUGGAGCUCUGAAGAAUAGGUUUAAGAUCCUGGGUCAGAAGCCAUUCCACCCAUACUCCACUCAGGUUAAGCUAGUUCUUGCUUGUUGCAUUCUGCAUAACUGGAUCCUCCAGUGGGGCUUUGAUGAACACGUGCCUGAGGAGGAAGAGGUCGAGCCUGACGAUGUUGUUAGCUCUGGCCAUGGUGUGAAGGCAUUUGACAAUGAUGCUUGGAAGAACAAAAGGUUGGAGUGA
RNAcentral lists this ribosomal RNA (438 nucleotides) under Triticum aestivum (bread wheat). Its description in RNAcentral is "partial small subunit ribosomal RNA". The record is from RNAcentral. Lineage: Eukaryota; Viridiplantae; Streptophyta; Magnoliopsida; Poales; Poaceae.